GAUGAACGCUGGCGGCGUGCCUAAUACAUGCAAGUCGAGCGAACAGACGAGGAGCUUGCUCCUCUGACGUUAGCGGCGGACGGGUGAGUAACACGUGUAUCACCUACCUAUAAGACUGGUAUAACUUCGGGAAACCGGCGCUAAUACCGGAUAAUAUAUUGAACCGCAUGGUUCAAUAGUGAAAGACGGUUUUGCUGUCACUUAUAGAUGGAUCCCCGCCGCAUUAGCUAGUUGGUAAGGUAACGGCUUACCAAGGCUACGAUGCGUAGCCGACCUGAGAGGGUGAUAGGCCACACGGGAACUGAGACACGGUCCAGACUCCUACGGGAGGCAGCAGUAGGGAAUCUUCCGCAAUGGGCGAAAGCCUGACGGAGCAACGCCGCGUGAGUGAUGAAGGUCUUCGGAUCGUAAAACUCUGUUAUUAGGGAAGAACAAAUGUGUAAGUAACUAUGCACGUCUUGACGGUACCUAAUCAGAAAGCCACGGCUAACUACGUG
Molecule: ribosomal RNA, 497 nt
Filed under: uncultured bacterium
Lineage: Bacteria
Description: partial 16S ribosomal RNA
Rfam family: Bacterial small subunit ribosomal RNA
Source: RNAcentral